UACGUAGGGGGCUAGCGUUGUCCGGAUUUAUUGGGCGUAAAGAGCGUGUAGGCGGCCAGGUAAGUCUGGUGUGAAAACUCGAGGCUUAACCUCGAGAUGUCAUCGGAAACCAUUUGGCUAGAGUCCGGAAGAGGAGAGUGGAAUUCCUGGUGUAGCGGUGAAAUGCGCAGAUAUCAGGAAGAACACCAAUGGCGAAAGCAGCUCUCUGGGACGGUACUGACGCUGAGACGCGAAAGCGUGGGGAGCGAACAGG
Molecule: ribosomal RNA, 253 nt
Filed under: uncultured bacterium
Lineage: Bacteria
Description: partial 16S ribosomal RNA
Rfam family: Bacterial small subunit ribosomal RNA
Source: RNAcentral